UACAGAGGGUGCAAGCGUUGUUCGGAAUUAUUGGGCGUAAAGCGCGUGUAGGCGGUGAUGCACGUCGGGUGUGAAAGCCCUCAGCUCAACUGAGGAAGUGCGGCCGAAACUGCAUCGCUGGAGUGCCGGAGAGGAAGGCGGAAUUCCCGGUGUAGAGGUGAAAUUCGUAGAUAUCGGGAGGAACACCAGUGGCGAAGGCGGCCUUCUGGACGGACACUGACGCUGAGACGCGAAAGCGUGGGGAGCAAACAGG
Molecule: ribosomal RNA, 253 nt
Filed under: uncultured bacterium
Lineage: Bacteria
Description: partial 16S ribosomal RNA
Rfam family: Bacterial small subunit ribosomal RNA
Source: RNAcentral